AAUGCGUCAUGCCUAAUGCAGUGGGAACAAGCAAGACCUGGCCUAGAGUUCCCAGACCUGGGCUCGCAGGGGGCUCCAGGAGGGGGCUGCUUAGCGGCUGAGGCGCGUGGGCCGUCUUCCUGGCAGCUACGUGCAAGAAGGAGGGGCAAAAGGAGGGAUGGACUCGAACACGAAAGGAUCCGGAGCGGUGGCUGCACCGAAGCGGGCAGGCCCUGUUUUGGAAGCUGACGGUAUGAUGGUGAAUAAGAGACACAAAGUCACUGUCCUCCUGGAGCUUGCACUUUACUGGGGAGGCUGGUGAUUCACUAGUGACAAGAAGAAAAUUUCAGAACGUGAACAAUUCUAUGAAGGAAAAAGCAAUGAAGAAUCAUGAGAUGGGAUGUGGAUGCUGGACACCGGCCAUGUGACCAUCGACUGGCAAAUGGAAAAUUCAUUGGUGUAUACUCAUUCAAUGGAAUAUGGUGCAGCAAUGAAAAAGAACAAAGUAUGGGGACUUCCUUGGUGGUCCAGUGGUAAAGAAUCCACCUUACAAUGCAGGGGAUGCAGGUUCCAUCCCUGGUGAGGGAACUAAGAUCCCACAUGCCACGGGGUAGCUAAGCCCGUGUGCCACAACUACUGAGCUUGGGCGCCUCAACUAGAGCCCGCGUGCCGCAAACUACAGAGCCCACGCACUCUGGAACCCAUGCGCCACAACUACAGAGCCCACAUGCCCUGGAGCCUGUGCACCACAACUACAGAAGAGAAAACCCACAUGCCACAACUAGAGAGAAGCCCGCGCACCACAAUGAAGAGCCCACACGCCACAACGAAAGAUCCCGCAUGCCUCAACGAAGAUCCUGCAUGCUGCAACUGAGACCCGACGCAGCCAAAAAGAAAAGAACAAGGUACGAACUCAUACACAGCCCUGGGCAUGAGGCACAUGACACAAAUAGGGUUCACUGCAUGAUCCCAUUCCCGUGACCCUCAAGGAUGGGCAGAAGUAAUCCGUGGAGUCGGGGGAGCCCAGUGUCUCCUAACUUUGGACCACUGACAUCUGGGGCUGGACGAUUCUUUGUUGUAGGGGGUCUAUCCUGUGCAUUGCAGGAUGUUGAGACGCAUCCCUGGCCUCUCCCCACUAGAUGCCAGUAGCAUGUGCUAGCUGAGAUAAAUGUCCCUUGUGGGACGGCGGACACAACCACCUUCAGGUGAGGAUCACUGGGAAAGUGAUAUUUUGAGGCAAGGCACUCACCCCAUAGUGGCCUUGGGGAGCUCUCGAGGGACUGGCAAAUUCUAUAUCUUAAGCUAUGGUGGUGAUCAGGGUGGAACAUAUUUUCAAAAUUCAGAACUGUAUUUUAGAAGUAUGUGCUUCACAAUAAAGGAGUGAACCCUA
Long non-coding RNA from Lagenorhynchus albirostris (white-beaked dolphin), 1369 nucleotides. RefSeq lists it as uncharacterized. The transcript has 3 exons. Lineage: Eukaryota; Metazoa; Chordata; Mammalia; Artiodactyla; Delphinidae. The record is from RefSeq and is a predicted model, not a curated record.